UCACCCCCAUCAUCCUCUUACCAACAUCCCAGAGAGCUUCCCUGAGCGGCUGAAAGAGGGGGUGAGAGCUGUCAGGCUUGAAGCAAUGGAUGGGUGUGGGGUGGGGAGGUGCUCACCCAGGCAUCUGCCCCAUCCUCCACGCAUGUGCUUGCGGCCCCUGGCCUGCACACGGCUCCCGCGCUAGACAGAGCCAACAGGAGACAGUGCAGCCAUCACGGAGGUCUACACAGCUCUGGCCAUGGAGGAAGAACCCUUGGUCUUGCGCUCCUCUCCCUCUGUACGUUUGUUACACCCCCACCUCACCUCCUGGAAGUCAGAAACCAAAUGUUAUUCAUCUUCUACACCCGGCUACUGUCACAUGGAGGGCAAUGCAUCCAUGUGGUUGGCUGAAGCGACAGAACAGGAAGAGGCGAGUGAAGCUGGAAAGAUGCCCUCAGCUCUCCAGAGGGCCGUCUGGGGGCAUACUGCACGAGGUCCACUGAGUGGGGCCAGAGCCUACGGAUGGGGGGCCGGGGAAGGCACGCGCUGCGGAUGAGGACACUAGCUGCCCACUGUUGAUUGUCUUCAUCAUGGAGGGAUAUCCAUGACCAUAAUAUUCCCGGCUCUGCCCAUUAUUAGGCAAAUGGUGAGUCUGGGCUUAGAAACCAGGCUCUUCCCUGUCUUCCUUUGUUAGUAGCAGGUUGUCCUCAGCCCUGGGAGCGCCUGGGAGAGGAGAUGCACUGCGAGGGGCCUGCACCCACCUAGCACUGCUGUGCCUGACCAGGAAAACCCAACAUGCAUUAUAUGGGCAAAUGCCAUUAAUAAUCACACAGCUGAACACCAGCAAUUUGGUCUCCACGGCAACAGAAGAUGAUGACAUUUAGCUCAGAGGGUUGUCAUGAACAUGAAAUGGGAGAAAGUACAGAGAGACCGGGAGCCAUGGGACAAGAGCUAUUCACCUCUGGUCCACUGCUGGGGCAUCUGUUGUCUGGAGCUGCGCAGUGAAGAACAGUGACUGAGCCCCGCCCGUGCAGCCCAGGAGCUUUGAGUCUGGUGAGAGCCAGCCUAGAGAACAAGCUGUGACAAUGAAAUACAAAGGUUGCCAUGAUAAGUGUGAGCAAGAGGAUAUUUGGGGCCCUGAGAAGAGAUUCUCACCCCAGCUUGUGGUCAGAAGAGAGAGUGGGAACUGGUGGAACUGGUAGACUUUUGGAGGUAAGAAAGCUGCAAUCAACAAAGCCUCACAGAACAGACAGAGGCACAGAGGUCUGAGCUUGUGCUGCCUUCUUCACAGACACGGAACAGCCGCUGGUUGAGCCAGGGAUGCGACCGAGCUCUAGCUGUAGUAGAGCCCUUUCUGUGUGCAUCGUCUCCAGCUCAAAGAGGUGACGAGCCCAAGGACUAGAGUGACAAAUUCUUGGUUUGAACAUAAGUGUGUCCAGGUCCCAAGUCUGUACCUUGUGGUGCAUUCCAGGAGACCUCUACUGGAGGGUACAUCACAGUCUCCUGGGGAGAUAUUUAAACUACCGCUGUCUAAACUUUAUUCUAGCCGGGCUGAACUGAAAUCUCUGGGAGUAAGGUUCACAUAUGCAUAAUAAAAAAAAAAGGCUCCCCAGGAGAUUCUGAUGUGUCCUUCUGGUUAAUAACUCUGCAGGGGGAGCCCCAGGAAAGGCUCUCUGCUUGUGGCCCAGUACCACGUUCAAGGUUGUUUACACCAAUGAGCUACUAAGAAGUGCGCAUCUGAUGGACUUGUGCCGUCUAUACCACAGCUGAGAAGCUGUGACGCUUGACAGGCAUAUGAUGGGGUGGGUAAUAACCUGAGGUUGACCUGGUGGUUUGACAGGCCGAGCUGAACAACUGACUCCCUGAGCCAGCUUCCUGGGGGUGUAUGGCAUACAGGGCAGUCUUUACGUUGCUUAGCUGAAUUUCUCAUUCUUCCUCUUAACUGCAAGUACACUUCAGUGAAAAAGAAGGAAGGAGGGGAGAGGGAAGCUGGGCUUGCAAGAGCUGCCUGCAUUGCAGCAAGAGGCCCUCGUGGACCUCCUGGCUCCCAGGAUUCUCCCCAGCCGCCUGCCUGCAGCGUGCGCUCUUCCUGGGCCAGCAAACAUCUUAGACCGAGGAGAGAAGCAGGGGCCUUAGGGAACUCGGUGGGCACUGUCCUGCUAGUUUGCUAAUUGGGUUCAAAACAGAACGUAGCUACAUGUGUGGGGACUGCUUCAUCUCUCCUGAAAAUAAAACCAAAAGUGCCUACAUAAGCACUCACAGGUCUGUGCAUGUGCACACUC
Molecule: long non-coding RNA, 2261 nt
Organism: Manis javanica (Malayan pangolin)
Lineage: Eukaryota; Metazoa; Chordata; Mammalia; Pholidota; Manidae
Source: RefSeq, a predicted model, not a curated record